UUUUCCAGUAUCUGGUAGGAUGUAUGAGGCAAAAAAAUACGAAGGAACUUUAUCACUGUGUUGUUUCACAAAUCCCAUGCCCUUAGCUGAUCUGCCUUCUUUCUGCAUUUCAAAGUCUUGUGUUUGUUUAUAUGUAAUGCUCAGGGGUUUUGGUUGUACUUAGUGGAUGGAACAGAGAAAAGUAUGUCUUCUCCAUCUUCUCUGAAGUGGAAGUCUCUGGCAUAUUUUUAAAAAAAUCCCCCUUGGAGUGUUCAUAGUGGUGCAGGGGAAACGAAUCCGACAAGAAACCAUGAGGUUGUGGAUUCAAUCCCUGGCCUCGCUCAGUGGGUUAAGGAUCCUGUGUUGCCGUGAGCUGUGGUGUAGGUCAAUAGCUACAGCUCUGACUAGACCCCUAGCCUGGGAACCUCCAUAUGCUGCGGGUGUGGCCCUAAAAAGACAAAAAGAAAAAUAAAAUUUAAAAAAUAAAAAAUGAAAAAAAAAGAUCCCCCUUAAUAUCAUGUUGAAAUUAGAUUAUAAGAGAAGUAAUAGAGGAAACAGUGAGAUGGGUUAGGAUGCUAUUUUAAUUUCCCAGGUGAGAAAUGAUGAUGAUUCUGGCCAAGGUGGUAGCAGUGGAGAUGGUGAAAAGUGGUCAGAUUUUGGAAAUAUUUUGAGGGAACGACAACAGGAUUUGCCUACAGCUUGGAUAUGGGGUGUGAAAGAGAUGAUUCACGGAUACCCAAGGUUUUUGGCUUGAGUAACUGAAGGAUGAAGUUGCCAUCUACUAAUAUAAGGGAGGCAAGGAGAGAAAUAGGAGUUACAUUUUGAAUAUACUUCCAAGUGAAAAUGUUGAGUAGGCCUCUUCAUCUCUAGGGAGCCCAUGAAUUCAUCUCUUAUCUCUUUUGUGUUAAGACACAGUCUUCUAGGUGCUACUCAUUAUAUUUAUUGAACCGGAUAAUCAUUACAGGGAUGUGUUCAGUUUAUGGAAAUUCUUCAAUCUGUACAUUUAGAGUGUGUGCCCCUCUCUUUAUGUAUAUUAUACUUUAAAAUUAUAUAAAAAAUCUAAAAUUAUUUAAAAACCGUCAACAUGUCAAUGCUCUCCAAAUUGGUCUAUGGAUUUAAUGCAAUUCCUUUCAAAAUACCAGCAAUGUAUGUGUAGGUACAGAAAAGCUUAUUCUAAAAUUUAUAUGAAAUGGCACAGGCCCUAGAAUAGCUAAAUAAUCUUGAAAAAGAAGAAUGGAGUGGGAGAAAUAACUAUUUGAUAUUAAGGGUUACUAUAUAGCUACAUUCAAAACAGUGUGGUAUUGGUGAAAGAAUAGAAGCAUAAGAUUAAUGGAGCAGAUUAAAGAAAUAGACCCAUACAAGUAUAGCUACUUGUACUGUAGCAAAGGGGCAAAGGCAAUUCAACAGAGAAAGGACAGUUUUUUUUAACAAGCGAUGGUGGCACAAUUGAACAUUUCAUAGUCAAAAAAAGAACCUUGACCUAAACUUCUUACAGUAUACAAAAAGUAUCUCAAAAUGCAUCAUAGACCUAAAUGUAAAACAAAACUUUUAGAAGAUAACAGGAGAAAAUUUUCACGACCUAGGGUUAGUGAAGGAAUUUUUAAAAAUGACAAUCCAUAAAAUAAAUAAAAUUAAUAAUUUUGAAUUUAUCAGAAUAAAAAAGUUGCUCAGCAAAAGAUACUGAUAAGAAAAUAAAAAGACAGGCUACAGACUGGGAGAAAAUAUUUGCAAAUCACAUAUCCAACAAAGAAUUUGUAUCCUAAAUAUAUAAAAAGCUCUCAAAGCUCUAUUUUAACAAACAACCCAAUUAAAAAUAUCAAGACUGUAACAGCCACUUCACCAAAGAGGAUUUAUAAGAUGGCGAGUAACCACAAGCGGAAGCACUGUGUUAUGUGAAGCCAUCUUUUAACCAUGAAGAAAUAUCCUGAAGACAAAAGGAACACAUACAAAAAAGAGUGCAGAAGUCAGAUAAUCAAAACCAAAGCUCUGUUUAAACUGUGCCUAAAAUCCACAUACUUCUAGGCUUUUCAGUUACAUGAGCCAAUGUCCCAUGCUUGACUUGCAUUUUCUGUUAUUUACAACUUAUCUUUGUCUAUUAUAUAUUAUUAAAGUCAACAUCAUUCAAGACUUGACUCCUCUCACCUCCAGAAAAUUUCUCAUGGCUGCUACUCUUCCUCCCUUUUUCCUUUGAGCUCUUCCAAUCCCUCCCAAGAGUCUGAGUCACUUGCCUUAUCUCUCCCCUCUCCACCUACCCACCCAAUACCUCAAACCCUUGUGUAACUUUUGUGCUGUUUUAUUUCAUCUUCUGUUCUUUCCUUUGUUACAGCACUGACCCUGGUAAAAUGCAACAUUCAACAUCUGUCACACAGAAUUGUAACUGUGUUUCUGUCUCUCCCACAAGAUUGUUAGUUCAAGAGGGCCCAGUAGUCCCUUGACUCAGCUCCUCUCUGCCUCAGGGUUUCAUGCAUUGACCUAUAAAGAUGAGGCUCAGUUGUGGGAGAGGAGGGAGGCUGAAAUCCAUCCAAUUUCAUUUACUAAUGCUUGAGUAUCCCCCACAGCUACCUGCCUUCAUGACUUUGCUGAAGAGGGAGACAUUCAGGCUCUCUCAACCUGGAUCAUCUUUCUAUUUCUAAAUCCUACACCUCCCUCUUUUUUUUCCCCUUUUUAAGGCUGCACCUGCGGCUUAUGGAAGUUCCCGGCUAGGGGUCGAAUUGGAGCUGCAGUUGCCGGCCUACGCCACAGCCACAGCCACACCAGAUCUGAGCCGCGUCUGUGACCUCCAUCGCAGCUCGUGGCAAUGCUGGAUCCUUAACCCAUUGAGCCUGCCCAAGGAUUUGAUCCCGCAUCCUCAUGGAUACUAGUCAGGUUCUUAACCCACUGAGCCACAACACGAACUCCCCAAAUCCUACCCUUUCAAAAUCAAGGCCUACUGUGGAAAGCAGAAGGGAACUACCUGGGUCAGUGGUGAUGUUCUGUGUCUUGAUAUGGUGUGGCACACACAAGUAUAUGCAUUUGUCAAAACAUGAAGUUAUACCCUCAAGUUAUAUGCACUUCAUUGUACAGAUACUUUAGUUAAAAAAGAAUCACAAACAUAUAUUGAACUCUAGUUUAUGGCAUUCAUGCAGAAGUGUUUAAAGGGACAUACAGAGGCAUCAAAUUUUGAAAUGCACAAAAAAUAAGGUGGGUUGACGGAUGGAUAGAGGGAUGGAUAUGUGACAAAAUAAGUGUAGUAAAACACUAUAGAAUCUAAAUGGUAGAUAUAUGGGUAUUUGCUGUAUAAUUACUUUGACUUUCUGAAUGUUUGAAAAUGUUCAUAGUAAAAAUGUCAGGGGGGAGAAAAAGGGAGGUGUGGGUUACCAUUUCUGGUAUCUGAAUAGCCACUGCUCUGGUUUAGACUGGAAUCUUGCAACCAUCUUCACGUUGGGCUCCACACUAACAUGCUUUUGUCUCCACCCCCCCACCCCCCACCCACCCAAAGAUUGCCAGAGAAAACAUUCUGAAACAUAAACUGGGCCUCCAUGAUCAUGUUCCUGCCAACCUCUUUGGCUUCAUCCCACAUUUACCAUCUUACUCAAGCCUGCACACCAACACAACUCAAAUACGUGUACUUCUCCCCACACACCCGGCUGCUUCAAUUUUCUACUUUUGUUUAUGCUGUUCCUUUUGCUUGAAAUGCUCUAUUCCAACUCACCUUCCGUCUUCCCUUGCCUGGUGAAUGCCCUUCAAUAGUCAACUCAGGUGUUGCUUCUUUCUAGAAGUCUUUCCUGCUCCUCAGACUGGGUUCAAUAUCCUUCAUUGCCCCCAUAGCACCCUAUACUUAUUUGUAACAUAGUAUUUAUCCUAGCAUGCUAAACCACAUGCUCCUUAGGAUUGAGUCCUUCAAAGGCAUACACAGGGCCUGACACAAAAGUAUCUUUGAACUGGCAUGGAUAGGCCAGCACCCUCCAGCAACUUUGUGUCAUAGAUUUUAGUUGUAUUUCCUCUACAGGAUGAUAAGGCUCACCAAACCUAUUGACGCAGCCAUCUCUCUAUGUCCUCCAACCAUGUUCCUAAUGAAGCUGACUUGAUUUCCUGCCCCAGGUUGAAUGAAAUAUUCUCUCCAACUCCUUUAAAGGCUUUCUUUGUAAUCUUUCUAAGAUUAUGGGUCUUGUUGGGCAAAUUUUCUCUGGAAAAAAUGAAACCAGAUUUAUUGAUGACCUGAGUGCUAGACAUUGUAUAAGUUCUUUAAAGAUACUAAUAUAAUUCCCAACAAUCUUAUGAGGCAGAGAUUUUAUCUUCAUUUUAUAAAUGAUGAAACUGAGUCAAAGAAACAUGAAGUAGCCAACUCAAGAGCCCAUAGGAGGCAGAGCUGUAAUGGAAUCAUUGGUCUUCUCAACUUCCAGGCACAUCCUCUUUCCAGUACAGCCCAUUGUCCUCAGUUUGGGCCAGAUCUGAAAAGCCUUGCAACCCAAAAGUUGUAAUAAGCAGUGGGAAGCCAUGGAUGUUUUUAAGCAGGAAAAGAUGAUGAAAAUAGGACUCUGAGGAGAUAACCUUGAAAGGCUUUGUAUGAUAGAAUGGAAUGGAAUAGAAAGUGAGGGAGGUUUGACGGACUCCUGACAAGGAAAAUAUAAAAUGGGUGUUGUAUCUCUCUUACCACAUUCAUUGGUGAGUUCUGGCAUUAUGUUGUGGUCCUAUGGGAAAGGAGAGGGCCUGGAAAGGUGAUCUUUCUUUCUUAAGAGUUAAAAAGCUAAAAAUUGAGAUAGAGGAGGGCAACUUCCACCUCCUGGGUUAUAUGAAUGGCUGACUCCAUGGUUCUGCCUCCUGGAAAUGGCCUGGGAUACCCACACUUUAUGGAUGUAGAAAUCCAGAAAAAGGUUCAAAACUGAUGGAGAGUUGGGCGAGGCUUUCUUGGGGAAGGGCAAUGAAUGGGUCAUUAGAGGGCGAGACGGUACCUUCCCCCUCCCUCCUUCAGAAACUUCCUUACUUGUCUCCCUAUCUUCAUCUCUCUCCCUCCUAAUCCACUCCUAUGACUGGCAAAAGGAUCUUUUAAAAAAGCAAGUUGAGUCAUGCUAUUUUCUGCUUGAUGGUUCUCUGUCACUCAUGGGAUACAGUUACAUCUCUCAACAAACAUCAAAAUUACAUAUCCUCCAUUAUCUGAUGUUUUAAAAUAAACAUUGUGCCUAAAAACUAAUCAAUUUUGAUCUUAUGCCUUCUCAAACUACACAUUCCCUUUGGAAGACUCUGGUUCCUCCAGGUGAAAACCGGAGCUGUAGUUAUACUGAAUUGCAUGUUCUCUGUAUGCACAUGUUUUUUUCCCCCUCCUGGUUUGGAAUACUCUUCCCACUGUUCUCUGCCUGAUUGGCUAAUUAUUUCUCAUCCUUCAGUUCAAACAUCACCCCUGACAGGAAGCCUUGCCUAAACUCCCUACUUUCCCAGGACAGACUCCCUAAUCAGCAUUCUGUUCUCAUCUCUAUCAUCACAUUGUACCAUCUGGUGUUCUUCUCCACUCAGCUUACUGGAAAGCAAGUACCAUUUCAGUCAACUUGGCAUGAACAGGGUCCUGAUGGAAAGGGAGGAGCCUGUGUACUUAAGGUAGGGAACACAAUAUAGGCAAGCAGAAAUGUGCCAUGUGUACUUAGGACAGGUCAGGGCUGGAGGAUUCAGUUUGGGAAUCAACAGCAUCCAGAAAGUUUAGGAGUGACCAUGUAUUAGAGGGCUUCAUAAUUGAGAUAAUUUCAUCUGUCAAAUGUAGAAACUGCUAUCAAGACAAGUAAUCUCCCCCAAAUUACUUGGUCAGUCAUCGAGAAGGUAGGUUCUUAGCGACAAGUCCGAUACACUUUUCCACUCCAUAUUGGAAAGAGAGAAGACUGAAGUCGGGUGCUCUUGUUCUUCCAUUUUUUGGCCAAAAGUCUCUCAUCUGCUGGCACUUCCUGCCUAGAUGAGUAGUAAAGUAACCAAGACUCUAUCUUAUCCUCUAACCUAAGGCUGAUGACAGUGCUUUAGCCCCUUACUGAAAAGAUGGGGUGGGAGUUGGUGACAAUGGGAACCCAGCCCACCAGUCCUGCAAGGGCUCUUAAAAUUCCUCCUCUCUUUUCUGUUGCCUUUCCACCAGGAGACACAGUUCCCCAUGCUCCAGACAAGAAUCUUCUCUAUCCAAAUCCUGCCUAAUAUCAAGCUUCAGAUUGGGAGAGCUGGAGGACGUCAUUUAGCCAGUAGGUGCCAAACCCAGCCAGUUUCAUCCCAGAUUCACACAAGCAAAAUCUCCAGGAUGAAAAAAAUCCUGGUUGGGUUCAAACUCCUUUUACAAUAACCCUCAGACAGUAAGGAACUGGCCCUCAGGCACAGAGAGUCCAAGUGGUGGUGAAUUUGGUGAGUCUUCCAACACCACCCCAGGGGCUCCCUUACGACACAACUCUCAAUGUUAUAUCUUGCACACAAGUACUCAAUAAACAUCUGAUGGGUCAUUGAGUUGCUUAAGAUUUUCUAACAUGAUGAGAGGAAAGAACAUGAAUGUUGGAGUCAGGUAGAUCUUGCUGUGGAAGGCUAGUGGCAAGCUUCAGUCUCUUUCACUGUAAAACAGGGCUAGUGACUAUCUCCUGGGGUUGUCAGUGAGGAUUAAAUGACAUAUCCCAGGUAAAAUCCCUAGCUCAAUGCCUGGCACUGAAAAGGCACUUAAAAUGGUAGCAGUUAUCAGUGAGAGGUGCUAGAACACAGUGAUUAAAAAACAAACAAACAAACAGAUUGUGGAACCAGGUUGGCUCCACCACGUAUGAUGUGUGAUGUAGGAGGUUUCCUUUGCCUGUUUCUUUAUCAGUAGAAUGAGGGUAUUGGCGAGAUGAAAUGAGUCAACAUACAUAGAACACUAACAGCAGUGUCUGACACAAGGAAAUGAGCAUGGUAUGCCAGCUCUAAUAAUUACACCCCUUGCACUGGCCUUAAGCACAGUAAUCAAGUUCAGCUUGAAGAGCAUGUAGGGGAUUGGGGGGAUAAAAAAAAAUUAAAAACCCACAACUCCACAUUCACAGAAAGAGAAUACAGGUGUCAGUAAAAACAGCCUACCAACAAACUUGUCAGCCUCCUUUGCAUUGUUGGACACCUUUCUCUUCUGCUCACUAUACUUCUGAUUAUCUGGUUUUGGUGUGUGAACUGUGUCUCUUGUGAGGGCAGAGAUCCUGUCCCAUCUCCACCUCAGGCUGGGCACCAGGGAAGUGCUGAGUUGAUGGGAGAGACAGGGAAGAUGCAAAGAAAAGGCAGUACUCCUGGACCCCAACACUCCACCACACCCACCACCACCA
Molecule: long non-coding RNA, 7253 nt
Filed under: Sus scrofa (pig)
Lineage: Eukaryota; Metazoa; Chordata; Mammalia; Artiodactyla; Suidae
Description: lncRNA (ENSSSCG00000062400.1)
Source: RNAcentral